CGCGUGAGUAACCUGCCCUGGAGUGGGGAAUAACAGCUGGAAACAGCUGCUAAUACCGCAUAAUGCAGUUGGGCCGCGUGGCUCUGACUGCCAAAGAUUUAUCGCUCUGGGAUGGACUCGCGUCUGAUUAGCUAGUUGGUGGGGCAACGGCCCACCAAGGCGACGAUCAGUAGCCGGACUGAGAGGUUGGCCGGCCACAUUGGGACUGAGACACGGCCCAGACUCCUACGGAAGGCAGCAG
This 241-nucleotide ribosomal RNA is filed under the name uncultured bacterium. RNAcentral's name for it is "partial 16S ribosomal RNA". It matches the Rfam family "Bacterial small subunit ribosomal RNA", at positions 114 to 354 of the family's 1533-position model. The record is from RNAcentral.